UACGUAGGGUGCAAGCGUUGUCCGGAAUUAUUGGGCGUAAAGAGCUCGUAGGCGGUCUGUCGCGUCUGCUGUGAAAACUCAGGGCUUAACCCUGAGCUUGCAGUGGGUACGGGCAGACUAGAGUGCGGUAGGGGAGACUGGAAUUCCUGGUGUAGCGGUGAAAUGCGCAGAUAUCAGGAGGAACACCGGUGGCGAAGGCGGCCUGCUGGGCUCUUGCUGACACUGAGGCGCGACAGCGUGGGGAGCAAACAGG
Molecule: ribosomal RNA, 253 nt
Filed under: uncultured bacterium
Lineage: Bacteria
Description: partial 16S ribosomal RNA
Rfam family: Bacterial small subunit ribosomal RNA
Source: RNAcentral